This 1982-nucleotide long non-coding RNA is filed under the name Apteryx haastii (Great spotted kiwi). RNAcentral's name for it is "lncRNA (ENSAHAG00000004004.1)". Lineage: Eukaryota; Metazoa; Chordata; Aves; Apterygiformes; Apterygidae. The record is from RNAcentral.
NNNNNNNNNNNNNNNNNNNNNNNNNNNNNNNNNNNNNNNNNNNNNNNNNNNNNNNNNNNNNNNNNCCCCCGAGGAAGGCGGGCGCACGGGGGCGGCGCGGAGCGGGCCGGGCUCCCGCGUGCACGGCGGCGGGGCGAUCGGGUGCACGGGCAGGGGCACGUGCGGCCGCACGCACCCAGACGUGUUUGCACGCACAUGCAUGCUCACACGCACGCAGAAAUGCACGUCCCCGUGCAAAUGGGCAGGGUCGCACACGGACAUGCAUGCUCACACGCACGCGGAGAGGUGGGCGCGUGGACAUGCAUGCUCAUGUGCACAAGAACAUGCAUGCUCACACGCACAAGAACAUGUUCAGACACACAUGCUCACGGACAUGCACACUCACAUGCAAACAGGUAUGUUCAGAGACAUGCAUGCUUAUGUGCACACGGACACACAUGUCCACGUGCAAACGGGUGCGUUCCCAUGGACGUGCAUGCUCACACGCACACAGACAUGCAUGUCCCCCUUCAAACUGGCAUGCUUAGACAUGCAUGCUCACAUGCACACGGACAUGCAUGCACAGACAUGCAUGUCCACGUACAAACUAGCAUGUUCACCCAGGCAUGCAUGCACACAUGCACACGGACAUGCAUGCACAGACAUGCAUGUCCACGUACAAACUAGCAUGUUCACCCAGGCAUGCAUGCACACGGGCAUGCAUGCACACAUGCACACGGACACGCAUGCACACUCAUGCUGGCUCCCACGCACGUGGACACACAUGCACACCAACAGGCAUGUUCACGCACGCAAGGACACGCACGGCCACAUACAAACAGGUGUGCUCACGCUCACACGCACGCACACACGAAGCGGUGUGUUCACACACACGUGUCCACACGCACCGGUGUGCUCACGUGCACACAACCGGGUGUCCUCGCACGGACGUGCACGCUCACACGCGUGUCCACCUGCCCAGGUGUGCUCACACGCACACAACACGCGUGGCCACGUGCGCACGGACGUGCACAGCCGCAUGCACACGGAUGCGCGUGCUCACGGACACGCGGGCGCACACGCUCACACAUGCGGACAUGCUCACGCUCCCCCCGUGUGCACCCGCAACACCUGCCCCACCCAUGUGCACACACACAGCCCCACGCCCUCAUUAACCCCCCCCCAAAACGUGCGCACACGUGACCACCCAGCCGGCACCCCGGGGUGCCCACCCACGGCACCCGGUCGGGGCCGCAUCCGGCCAGGGGCCAAGCCGCCCCCGGGGCACAGCGGAGGGGGGCUGCGGGGCGCCAAGGGGUGCAAAUGGGUGCUGCCGGGUGCUGAGGGGUGCUGCAAGGCACCGAGCGGCGCCGGGGGACACCCAAGGGUGCUGCGGAGGGCUCCAGGCCCUCCCCGGGCUUGGAGGCAGCCGAGGCCGGAGGAGGCAGCAGGGACCUCGCCACGGCCCCGGCGCUCCCUCGGGGGCGGCUCCCUCGGCUGGCGCCAGCACCCAAAACCCGCGUGUGGCAACGGGGCCACCCCAAACCCCUCCAGAUCCCCCCAGUGCCUGGGGCGGCUGCUGCAGGCAGAGGUAAGGUGACCGGCACAGCACGGGCAGAGUUAAGGUGACCAGAGUGGGCAGAGUUAAGGUGACUGGCGCGGUGUGGGCAGAGUUAAGGUGACCGGCACAGCACGGGCAGAGUUAAGGUGACCAGAGUGGGCAGAGUUAAGGUGACUGGCACAGCACGGGCAGAGUUAAGGUGACCAGAGUGGGCAGAGUUAAGGUGACCAGCACAGCACGGGCAGAGUUAAGAUGAUCAGAGUGGGCAGAAUUAAGGUGACUGGCACAGUGUGGGCAGAGUUAAGGUGACCAGAGUGGGCAGAGUUAAGGUGACCGGCAUGGUGUGGGCAGAGUUAAGGUGACCAGCACAGCAUGGGCAGAGUUAAGGUGACCAGAGUGGGCAGAGUUAAGGUGACUGGCGUGGUGUGGGCAGAGUUAAGGU